AUGGCAGCAAAGCAUGCUGAGUCCAUGAAACUGUUACGGCUUUCAGUAAUCGCAACAAAUGAAACUGAGAAGAAACACGAAGAACUUGCUCACCUAAAGACAGAACUAAAUAGGAUAAAAUUGCUACUGAUUGAGUUGGAGGAUGUCUGGAGAAAGUUCCGAAUGUAUCAGGAUUUCCUAAUUCAGAUAGCGCCAAUUAUGUGGAGGAAAGAGAAUGACAAGCACUAUAAUGCACUAGCAACAAACCCAUUCCUUGACACACCAUCACGUCAAAUGCUGACAGGUGUAGACAAGUAUGACCUUCUAAUGAAUGGCAGCAUCGAAUGUCUAGAGGAACUCAUGAUUUUAUUUCUGAGGGAUUUUCAAGAUAUUAAUAAACCGAUCUUGUAUUUCAAAAAGCCAGAGCAAAUUAAGGAGAUCUUCCAUGAGUUGGAGUUGAAAAACCUCAAUUCAUUGCUGCACUUACGAGAGUUACAAGAGCCAGAGCAGAUCAUGAAGACAGGACUAGAAAUAUCAAGCAAAUACUACUCCAGAGAAUCACAGAAUAUUGCUAACAGACUUGCAGCUCUGGAGCAGGAAGUACAAGAGGAACAUCAACGUAAAGAAAAGCUUAAACGUAAAGUUGAAACACUUCUCGAAGGAGUGCUGCGCCGGUUGCUCGCCUCUAAAGAAAUUCUGUGCCUUCAGGUGUUCAUUGAGGAUGUGUACACAACAUGUGUCGGACCGGUUGACUGGCGUAUGUCAGUACUAAAUAUGAUGCAGACAAUUGAGCACCAUAUUCAGCGUCAAUGCAUGCUGCUUGAUUCAUAUCCGCCAAAAAUUGUGAGCGAUGCAACCAAACAGGAGCAAAAGGCAACAGAACAGGCACGGCGUAUAGCGUUGGAGGCCCGUCGUAAAGUUUUAGACUUGGACUCCCUUCUAAAGGCUAUGAAACGGCUGUUAAAGCGAGUUACUGUUAGACCAAGUCGCAUGAUCAAGUUUCGGUCACACCUCCCACAGAAGAUGCGAAAAGCGGCCCCCGUGCAAUCGAAAGAGACAAAGCAGCAGGAUGAGGACAAGUAUUUUUUUACUCAAGUUGAAGGAGAAGCGCUGCACUAUAACUCUCUCUCGAGAACAACUAUGUAG
Molecule: long non-coding RNA, 1125 nt
Filed under: Bemisia tabaci
Lineage: Eukaryota; Metazoa; Arthropoda; Insecta; Hemiptera; Aleyrodidae
Description: lncRNA ENSSSA3NGG003216
Source: RNAcentral